Molecule: transfer-messenger RNA, 396 nt
Filed under: Acidimicrobiia bacterium
Lineage: Bacteria; Bacillati; Actinomycetota; Acidimicrobiia
Also listed under: 3 other names
Rfam family: transfer-messenger RNA
About the family: Bacterial tmRNA, also known as 10Sa RNA or SsrA, is named for its dual tRNA and mRNA-like properties. Its role is to liberate the mRNA from a stalled ribosome.
Source: RNAcentral
GGGGCUGACAGGUUUCGACGUCAGUAGCGAUGGCCGAGUCGGCGACCCGAGUUGCUCAGACUCGCUAAACGGGGCACCAACAAGAAUUGCCGAUGAGCAGUUCGCUCUCGCCGCCUGAUCCAAUCAGGUGAUCAGAGAGUCACAGUGAGCAGCAAUGCCGCACGGGGCCGAUCCACCGCAGCCCGGCAACAGAAGCGGGGGAUGACGGCGAGAAAGACCGCUGGCAGCCGGAAAGACGGAUGACACCCGGGAAAGACCGAGCGCUGGUCAUGAGCUCCACAGCGACUGACCAUCCGACCCGCCGGUGAGACAGCGUCAGUCUCCGUGCCGGGAAUGGUCGUAGCUGGUUCGUCCACGGGCUGAUGGACGGGGGUUCGAUUCCCCCCAGCUCCACGC